AUGUCUUCCUCCUCCGGCGCAUCUCACCCUAACCUCAGUGGGCAGGUGAUUGAGAAACUCUCCCGCACGAAUUACGUGUUAUGGCGCACACAGAUCACACCACAACUUCGUGGCGCCGGUGUCUUCCAAUACGUUGAUGGCACCUCGCUGGAGCCGACCAAGCUUCAAGCCGCCAAGGAUAAGGACGGCAAGGACACGUUUGUGCCCAACCCUCUCCACCCAAUCUGGGUCCGGGAGGACCAGCAGGUGCUUGGCUUCCUGCUGAGCAACCUCUCCAAAGAGGUGCUCGUCACGGUGACCGCGGUCACCACGGCGCACGCGCUCUGGACGACGCUGGCGGGCAUGUACUCGUCGCAGUUACUGAGCCGCGUCAACAACAUCCGUACCUCGCUCAUCAACACGCAGAAGGGCAACCAGUCCGCCGCCGCCUACUUCGCCACCAUGCGCGGUCUCGCGGAUGAGCUAGCGGCGGCAGGUAAGCCCAUCCAGGAUGACGAGCUGAUUUCAUACAUCCUUCAUGGGCUGGACCAGGAGUACCAGCCCCUCGUCUCCGCUCUCGACGCCCGCGUCAGCCCCGCCUCCCUCGACGAGAUCUUCUCCAUGCUCAGCAACUUCGACCAGCGCAUGGUGCACUUCCAGAACUCCGGCGGCGGUGGCUUCAAGUCCUCUGCCAACCUUGCAGCCCGUGGUCAUGGCAGCGGCUCCCGCUACCAUGGCCGCGGCAAGGGCAGGGCCGGUGGCGUCAGGACCGGCAACAAUGGUGGAACCAGUGGUGGUGGCGCUCGUGGCAACAGGGGUCGCCGCGGUGGCGGCGCUGGCCGAACCCGCCCGGACGCCCCACACUGUCAGAUCUGUGGCAAACCAGGCCACACCGCCAGAGACUGCUGGUACCGCUACGAUGAAGACGAGGACGAUGCUCAAGAUGAUGACAAGAUCGCUGCGCCUACGGCGUCGACACCAACUGGUACCUCGACAGCGGCGCCACCAAUCACCUCACUGGAGAGCUCGAGAAGGUAA
RNAcentral lists this ribosomal RNA (1017 nucleotides) under Triticum aestivum (bread wheat). RNAcentral's name for it is "partial small subunit ribosomal RNA". Lineage: Eukaryota; Viridiplantae; Streptophyta; Magnoliopsida; Poales; Poaceae. The record is from RNAcentral.